AAGAAGCAGCUGUGCCAGAUGUUUUGUCAUUCAUCUCAAAAACAUCAUAUGAAAAACAAGCAGAAGAGUCAUAAUCCUCAUCCGGAGCUUGCUGUCCAGGUCAAACUCCGGCUUCGCAGACACCAGCCCUUACACCCAGCGCGAGACUGUGAGGUACAGAAACCGAGGUGGGCAAAGCUUAGGCCCUGGGAGCUGAGAGAAGACGCACGCAGCCGCCAGAGCACAGACUGGGUCCCGGAAGCUCGGAGAAGCUCACGGAGGCUGCCGAGGGCCCCCCCGGGAGCAGUGAAGGCCAGGGACGUUUCAUGGAGUCCAGGACAAGAACCAAGCCCCGUUUUGUGCCUUCACAGAGCAGGCAUUGCCGCCUGACAGUUCUCUGUUCCAGUCUUCCCUGAGUGAGGAAGAAGACCAAGAUCUACAGGAUAAACCCAGCCACCCUCCAGGCCUCCCAGGCAAAGGCCUCUUCCCAAUACCCAGGGCCAGACAUACUUUUCUCCCCAUGUUGAUUCAUUAUGUCAUCUUGACAGAGCACUUGGCAGGGUCCAAACACUGCGAUGGGUGCUGAGAUACUACUGUGGUUUGGAUCUGGAUUGAGCGUGCUCCCGAAGGGUUCCUGGGUUGACAUUCAGUCCCCAUCCGAGAUGUGAAGGGUCCGGAAACUUAAUCUGACCAUGGAGUUUGGAGGUGGGGUUGGG
RNAcentral lists this long non-coding RNA (695 nucleotides) under Heterocephalus glaber (naked mole-rat). Its description in RNAcentral is "lncRNA (ENSHGLG00100048108.1)". The record is from RNAcentral. Lineage: Eukaryota; Metazoa; Chordata; Mammalia; Rodentia; Bathyergidae.